UGGCGGCCGUAGCGCGGUGGUCCCACCUGACCCCAUGCCGAACUCAGAAGUGAAACGCCGUAGCGCCGAUGGUAGUGUAGGGUCUCCCCAUGCGAGAGUAGGGAACUGCCAGGCA
Molecule: ribosomal RNA, 115 nt
Filed under: Shigella sonnei
Lineage: Bacteria; Pseudomonadati; Pseudomonadota; Gammaproteobacteria; Enterobacterales; Enterobacteriaceae
Source: RNAcentral